AUCUAAGUACCCCGAGGAAAAGAAAUCAACCGAGAUUCCCCCAGUAGCGGCGAGCGAACGGGGAACAGCCCAGAGCCUGAAUCAGCUUGUGUGUCAGUGGAACGGUCUGGAAAGGCCGGCGAUACAGGGUGACAGCCCCGUACACGAAGGCACACAGGCUGUGAGCUCGAUGAGUAGGGCGGGACACGUGAUAUCCUGUCUGAAGAUGGGGGGACCAUCCUCCAAGGCUAAAUACUCCUGACUGACCGAUAGUGAACCAGUACCGUGAGGGAAAGGCGAAAAGAACCCCGGCGAGGGGAGUGAAACAGAACCUGAAACCGUGUACGUACAAGCAGUGGGAGCCUUCGUAAGAGGGUGACUGCGUACCUUUUGUAUAAUGGGUCAGCGACUUAUAUUCUGUAGCAAGGUUAACCGUAUAGGGGAGCCGAAGGGAAACCGAGUCUUAACCGGGCGUUAAGUUGCAGGGUAUAGACCCGAAACCCGGUGAUCUAGCCAUGGGCAGGUUGAAGGUUGGGUAACACUAACUGGAGGACCGAACCGACUAAUGUUGAAAAAUUAGCGGAUGACCUGUGGCUGGGGGUGAAAGGCCAAUCAAACCGGGAGAUAGCUGGUUCUCCCCGAAAGCU
RNAcentral lists this ribosomal RNA (626 nucleotides) under Cronobacter sakazakii. Its description in RNAcentral is "partial 23S ribosomal RNA". It matches the Rfam family "Bacterial large subunit ribosomal RNA", at positions 200 to 867 of the family's 2925-position model. Lineage: Bacteria; Pseudomonadati; Pseudomonadota; Gammaproteobacteria; Enterobacterales; Enterobacteriaceae. The record is from RNAcentral.